Molecule: ribosomal RNA, 484 nt
Filed under: uncultured bacterium
Lineage: Bacteria
Description: partial 16S ribosomal RNA
Rfam family: Bacterial small subunit ribosomal RNA
Source: RNAcentral
AUUGAACGCUGGCGGCAGGCCUAACACAUGCAAGUCGAGCGGAUGAAGGGAGCUUGCUCCUGGAUUCAGCGGCGGACGGGUGAGUAAUGCCUAGGAAUCUGCCUGGGAGUGGGGGAUAACGUCCGGAAACGGGCGCUAAUACCGCAUACGUCCUGAGGGAGAAAGUGGGGGAUCUUCGGACCUCACGCUAUCAGAUGAGCCGAGGUCGGAUUAGCUAGUUGGUGGGGUAAAGGCCUACCAAGGCGACGAUCCGUAACUGGUCUGAGAGGAUGAUCAGUCACACUGGAACUGAGACACGGUCCAGACUCCUACGGGAGGCAGCAGUGGGGAAUUUUGGACAAUGGGCGAAAGCCUGAUCCAGCCAUGCCGCGUGUGUGAAGAAGGUCUUCGGAUUGUAAAGCACUUUAAGUUGGGAGGAAGGGCAGUACGUUAAUACCUUGCUGUUUUGACGUUACCAACAGAAUAAGCACCGGCUAACUUCGUG